UUCUUUCUAGUUUUUGCGCGCUUCCUUCUUUCUUUAGGUUUUCUUCUUUGUUUCAUUAAACGCACCUUGUGGUUGAUUGGUUGACCUUAGUUUCUGAAGUGCAAUUGAAGAAUCAGCAAAAGAAUGGUAAGAGUGCAAACACUUGAGUACUUUCUUUUUUAACACAAUAUUUGCUAGUCCUUUUUGUUCUUUGUUGAUUUAAGGUAGGAUGAGUAAAGACAAGAAUGUGGUGGAUCGUACUGAUGGAAGUGAAUCGAAUAUGGGUAACGAUUAUAAGCUCUUUAAGAAGUCAGUCAGUGGUGAGUUACAAAGGCUCAAUAAGACCCUUGAGAGGUUAACUGAAACUAUGGAGAGUUUGAAUGUCUCACAAGCUUCCACUUCUACAAGAAUACCUCAAAGAACUCCUAAUUGCAAUAAUAACUGUGAUGAUUCGGAUGUGUUGGUU
RNAcentral lists this long non-coding RNA (445 nucleotides) under Manihot esculenta (cassava). RNAcentral describes it as "long non-coding RNA (MESC_LNC012529)". The record is from RNAcentral. Lineage: Eukaryota; Viridiplantae; Streptophyta; Magnoliopsida; Malpighiales; Euphorbiaceae.